UGGGGAAUUUUGGACAAUGGGCGAAAGCCUGAUCCAGCAAUGCCGCGUGUGUGAAGAAGGCCUUCGGGUUGUAAAGCACUUUUGUCCGGAAAGAAAUCCUUGGCUCUAAUACAGUCGGGGGAUGACGGUACCGGAAGAAUAAGCACCGGCUAACUACGUGCCAGCAGCCGCGGUAAUACGUAGGGUGCAAGCGUUAAUCGGAAUUACUGGGCGUAAAGCGUGCGCAGGCGGCUUGCUAAGACCGAUGUGAAAUCCCCGGGCUCAACCUGGGAACUGCAUUGGUGACUGGCAGGCUAGAGUAUGGCAGAGGGGGGUAGAAUUCCACGUGUAGCAGUGAAAUGCGUAGAGAUGUGGAGGAAUACCGAUGGCGAAGGCAGCCCCCUGGGCCAAUACUGACGCUCAUGCACGAAAGCGUGGGGAGCAAACAGGAUUAGAUACCCUGGUAGUCCACGCCCUAAACGAUGUCAACUAGUUGUUGGGGAUUCAUUUCCUUAGUAACGUAGCUAACGCGUGAAGUUGACCGCCUGGGGAGUACGGUCGCAAGAUUAAAACUUAAAUGAAUUGACGGGGUCAUAGCUGUUUCCU
Molecule: ribosomal RNA, 585 nt
Filed under: uncultured bacterium
Lineage: Bacteria
Description: partial 16S ribosomal RNA
Rfam family: Bacterial small subunit ribosomal RNA
Source: RNAcentral